RNAcentral lists this ribosomal RNA (301 nucleotides) under uncultured bacterium. RNAcentral's name for it is "partial 16S ribosomal RNA". It matches the Rfam family "Bacterial small subunit ribosomal RNA", at positions 509 to 807 of the family's 1533-position model. The record is from RNAcentral.
CAGUCGCCGCGGUAAUACGUAGGGUGCGAGCGUUAAUCGGAAUUACUGGGCGUAAAGCGUGCGCAGGCGGUUCGUUAAGACAGAUGUGAAAUCCCCGGGCUUAACCUGGGAACUGCAUUUGUGACUGGCGAGCUAGAGUAUGGCAGAGGGGGGUAGAAUUCCACGUGUAGCAGUGAAAUGCGUAGAGAUGUGGAGGAAUACCAAUGGCGAAGGCAGCCCCCUGGGCCAAUACUGACGCUCAUGCACGAAAGCGUGGGGAGCAAACAGGAUUAGAUACCCGCGUAGUCCCUGUCUCUUAUAC